GGGCUGUUCGGCGGCAGGGGGCUCAGGGCUGGGCUCGACAGCAACGACUGGUGGCUCGGGGCUGGGCUCGACAACAACAACUGGUGACUGGGCUCGACGGCGGGUGGGGGUUCUCGGGUCUGGGCUCGACGACACAGGAGCUGGGCAGAGGGCUGGGCUCUCCUAUCUCUCCAUGAACGCAAACCCAUUUCAGCUCAAGAUCUAUUCCAUUUUCAAGCAUGUUUAUGUGUGGCAUGCAAUAACAGGCUACUGGGGUGGUGUUAGACCAGGAAUUGCCGAAAUGGAACACUCUUUGUUAAAGUUGAUGUUCAGAACAUUUUUGAGACUCUUGGGGCAGGCCAUGGUGGAAGGGUGAAACUGGCUAGAAAAUAUCAUCAGGCAUUGGAGGCUUCAGGUAUAUGGUUUCAUUUACUUGAAAUACUAAAUUAAUAUCAAAUUACUAACAAUGACUGUCUUCUGUGAGGCAAUCAUUACCUUUUUCCUCUCCAAUUUUUCCUUCCUGCAUGAUGCUCAAUUAAUCUGAAAACUGUGGUAGUUAUUAUCCUUGUCAAUAAUAAUAACCAUAUUGUUAUAGUUUUGUUACUGCAAAACUUUUUUUUUAAUGCCAAUAUGUGUUGUUGCGUAGCUUUGAAAGUUCAUACUAGUGCAUCCAGAUUUUGUCAUAUCAUUUAUGGGCUUGUUGCGUCAAUAUUUAGGGAGUAGGGACUUUUCAUGAAGGUUUCUUUAUUUUAUCGAAUGGGUUUGCUUUCUACUCUAGGAAGGUCCAAGUAAUGGGUGGUUCUAUGAGUGCUUAAUGUAAAGAUUUACAUCUUUUCCUGAUUUACUUGGGAAUUGGUGUCCUUGGUUGUAUUUCUAAGAUGAUAACUUAUUAUCUGCAAUAACUUUUGCAAUAACUAAUGAAUCUCUUGUUAGAAUUAAUCGAUAUUAAAUGUGGAAAAUAAACAAGAAUUGGUAAAUAUAGUGAAGCCUCAAGAAUGCUAUUCUCUCGCCAAUGAAACUCGCUGCAUUCAAUCUCACACACUAUUUUUCACUCAUUAGUGCUUUUAAACUGAUAGAAAUUGUUUGAUUAUAAAUUUGCAGGAGAAGAAGUGUAUCUUCCCAAGGAUGCAUCUUUGCCAGUAACACUAAAAUCAAGAGAAUAUGAAGUGUUUACUGUGGUUCCAGUGAAGGAGUUGUCCAAUGGAGUGAGAUUUGCUCCAAUUGUAGCAAUUGUGAAUAAACUUAUUUAUGUAUACUACAAUAAAAAUCUAGUUAUAAUUUUUCAUGUUUGGUGUAUUAUAAUGUGAUUUUUCAUGUUUCAAGGAUGAUUUUAGAAAGAAAUUCAUGGCUGUUAUUUUAAUCAA
Long non-coding RNA from Humulus lupulus (European hop), 1343 nucleotides. RefSeq lists it as uncharacterized. The transcript is spliced from 2 exons. The record is from RefSeq and is a predicted model, not a curated record. Lineage: Eukaryota; Viridiplantae; Streptophyta; Magnoliopsida; Rosales; Cannabaceae.